Molecule: ribosomal RNA, 455 nt
Filed under: uncultured Oscillospiraceae bacterium
Lineage: Bacteria; Bacillati; Bacillota; Clostridia; Eubacteriales; Oscillospiraceae
Description: bacterial SSU rRNA
Rfam family: Bacterial small subunit ribosomal RNA
Source: RNAcentral
ACGGGAGGCAGCAGUAAGGGAUAUUGGGCAAUGGGGGGAACCCUGACCCAGCCAUGCCGCGUGAGGGAAUGAGGCCCUACGGGUCGUGAACCUCUUUUGCCUGGGGAUAACCCCUCCCGCGCGACGGGGGGCUGCAGGUACCAGGCGAAUAAGCAUCGGCUAACUCCGUGCCAGCAGCCGCGGUAAUACGUAGGGAGCAAGCGUUAUCCGGAUUUACUGGGUGUAAAGGGCGUGUAGGCGGGACUGCAAGUCAGAUGUGAAAGCACGAGGCUCAACUUCGUGUCUGCAUUUGAAACUGUAGUUCUUGAGUGUUGGAGAGGCUAACGGAACUCCUAGUGUAGCGGUGAAAUGCGUAGAUAUUAGGAAGAACACCAGUGGCGAAGGCGGUUAGCUGGACAAUAACUGACGCUGAGGCGCGAAAGCGUGGGUAGCAAACAGGAUUAGAUACCCUGGUA